Molecule: long non-coding RNA, 573 nt
Filed under: Sorghum bicolor (sorghum)
Lineage: Eukaryota; Viridiplantae; Streptophyta; Magnoliopsida; Poales; Poaceae
Description: long non-coding RNA (SBIC_LNC009106)
Source: RNAcentral
CUAUUCAUAGCAAAUUAGUCUGACACUUGAACAAGUUUCAGAAACUCUGACCUCAACUCAUUAUAUGCACAGUUCCGCAAUUCAAUGAUCACAGGGAAGAGGCUAACAUAAUGUUCACACAAAAAAGAAUACUAAACUCACUGAAAUAUACAUACUCUAGUUCAAUAAAUAAAUUUGUAAUAUGCACAGUCACUACCUUCACUUUACUGCAACUAGUCAAACUGUACUAUCUGAAAGUAAGAAGAAUGCUUUCAUGAUUCAGAGCUCACCAAAUCUGAGUAAUUUACAGAACAUAAUUGCCAAGAGUGAUUUCAUUCACAAGUACUCACAAUAGAUACCUAUUCACAAAUUGCAUCUAAGCUCACAUGUACAUUUCAAGUUGGCCUGAUUAUUAAAAAAACAAAAAAAGUAGAUCUUGCUAUUUGGACCUCAGCGGAAUACAUGCCAGACAAGGGGGCUGAUGCAGCAGGGGAAGAAUUGGGAGGAAGAACUUCAUGCCGCAGCCCAGGGACCCUGCACUUUGCAACCAAGGCAACAACGGGAACUGUUGUUGCUCUCAACUGCUGGCCGCCG